This 1131-nucleotide long non-coding RNA is filed under the name Oncorhynchus kisutch (coho salmon). RNAcentral's name for it is "lncRNA (ENSOKIG00005039357.1)". The record is from RNAcentral. Lineage: Eukaryota; Metazoa; Chordata; Actinopteri; Salmoniformes; Salmonidae.
AUGGAUAUAUCCCUCUCCUCAUGGAUAUAUCCCUCUCCUCGUGGAUAUUCCUCUCCUCAUGGAUAUCCAUCUCUUCAUGGAUAUCCCUCUCCUCAUGGAUAUCCCUCUCUUCAUGGCUAUCCCUCUCCUCAUAGAUAUCCCUCUCCUCAUGGAUAUAUCCCUCUCCUCAUGGAUAUCCCUCUCCUCGUGGAUAUUCCUCUCCUCAUGGAUAUCCAUCUCUUCAUGGAUAUCCAUCUCUUCAUGGAUAUCCCUCUCUUCAUGGAUAUAUCCCUCUCCUCAUGGAUAUAUCCCUCUCCUCAUGGAUAUAUCCCUCUCCUCAUGGAUAUCCCUCUCCUCAUGGAUAUCCAUCUCUUCAUGGAUAUCCCUCUCCUCAUGGAUAUCCCUCUCUUCAUGGCUAUCCCUCUCCUCAUAGAUAUCCCUCUCCUCAUGGAUAUAUCCCUCUCCUCAUGGAUAUCCCUCUCUUCAUGGAUAUCUCUCUCUUCAUGGAUAUCCCUCUCCUCAUGGAUAUCCCUCUCUUCAUGGCUAUCCCUCUCCUCAUGGAUAUCCCUCUCCUCAUGGAUAUAUCCCUCUCCUCAUGGAUAUCCCUCUCCUCAUGGAUAUAUCCCUCUCCUCAUGGAUAUCCCUCUCUUCAUGGAUAUAUCCCUCUCCUCAUGGAUAUUCCUCUCCUCAUGGAUAUCCCUCUCCUCAUGGAUAUAUCCCUCUCCUCAUGGAUAUAUCCCUCUCCUCAUGGAUAUCCCUCUCUUCAUAGAUAUCUCUCUCUUCAUGGAUAUCCAUCUCUUCAUGGAUAUCCCUCUCCUCAUGGAUAUCCCUCUCCUCAUGGAUAUAUCCCUCUCCUCAUGGAUAUAUCCCUCUCCUCAUGGAUAUCCCUCUCUUCAUGGAUAUCCCUCUCUUCAUGGAUAUCUCUCUCUUCAUGGAUAUCCCUCUCCUCAUGGAUAUAUCCCUCUCCUCAUGGAUAUCCCUCUCCUCAUGGAUAUUCCUCUCCUCAUGGAUAUCCCUCUCUUCAUGGAUAUCCCUCUCUUCAUGGAUAUCCCUCUCCUCAUGGAUAUCCCUCUCUUCAUGGAUAUCUCUCUCUUCAUGGAUAUCCCUCUCCUCAUGGAUAUAUCCCUCACCUCAUGGAUAUCCAAGUAUUGA